Molecule: transfer RNA, 69 nt
Filed under: Salamis anteva
Lineage: Eukaryota; Metazoa; Arthropoda; Insecta; Lepidoptera; Nymphalidae
Description: tRNA-Ser
Source: RNAcentral
AAUUAAUUAAUGAGAUUGUUAAAACAUUUGUUUUGAAAACAUAAGAAAGAAUAAUUAUUCUAUUAAUUU